UACGUAGGGUGCGAGCGUUGUCCGGAAUUAUUGGGCGUAAAGGGCUCGUAGGCGGUUUGUCGCGUCGGGAGUGAAAACCCAGGGCUUAACCCUGGGCUGGCUUCCGAUACGGGCAGACUAGAGGUAUGCAGGGGAGAACGGAAUUCCUGGUGUAGCGGUGAAAUGCGCAGAUAUCGGGAGGAACACCUAUGGCGAAGGCAGCUCGCUGGGACGUUACUGACGCUGAGACGCGAAAGCGUGGGGAGCAAACAGG
RNAcentral lists this ribosomal RNA (253 nucleotides) under uncultured bacterium. RNAcentral's name for it is "partial 16S ribosomal RNA". It matches the Rfam family "Bacterial small subunit ribosomal RNA", at positions 524 to 776 of the family's 1533-position model. The record is from RNAcentral.